GAUUAUGGCUCAGGAUGAACGCUAGCUACAGGCCUAACACAUGCAAGUCGAGGGGCAGCAUGAUCUAAGCUUGCUUAGAUUGAUGGCGACCGGCGCACGGGUGAGUAACGCGUAUCCAACCUUCCCUAUAGUAGAGGAUAGCCCGGCGAAAGUCGGAUUAAUACUCUAUGUUUUCCAAUGCAGACAUCUAAAAUGGAACAAAGGUUUACCGCUAUAGGAUGGGGAUGCGUCUGAUUAGGUUGUUGGCGGGGUAACGGCCCACCAAGCCUACGAUCAGUAGGGGUUCUGAGAGGAAGGUCCCCCACAUUGGAACUGAGACACGGUCCAAACUCCUACGGGAGGCAGCAGUGAGGAAUAUUGGUCAAUGGGCGAGAGCCUGAACCAGCCAAGUAGCGUGCCAGGAUGACGGCCCUAUGGGUUGUAAACUGCUUUUAUACAGGGAUAAAGUGCGCCACGUGUGGCGUUUUGUAGGUACUGUAUGAAUAAGGACCGGCUAAUUCCGUGCCAGCCGCCGC
RNAcentral lists this ribosomal RNA (515 nucleotides) under uncultured bacterium. Its description in RNAcentral is "bacterial SSU rRNA". It matches the Rfam family "Bacterial small subunit ribosomal RNA", at positions 15 to 518 of the family's 1533-position model. The record is from RNAcentral.